AUUGAACGCUGGCGGCAUGCCUUACACAUGCAAGUCGAACGGUAACGGGCCUUCGGGUGCCGACGAGUGGCGAACGGGUGAGUAAUGUAUCGGAACGUACCUUUCAGUGGGGGAUAACGUAGCGAAAGUUACGCUGAUACCGCAUAUUCUGUGAGCAGGAAAGCAGGGGAUCGCAAGACCUUGCGCUGAUUGAGCGGCCGAUAUCAGAUUAGCUAGUUGGUGAGGUAAAGGCUCACCAAGGCGACGAUCUGUAGCGGGUCUGAGAGGAUGAUCCGCCACACUGGAACUGAGACACGGUCCAGACUCCUACGGGAGGCAGCAGUGGGGAAUUUUGGACAAUGGGGGCAACCCUGAUCCAGCCAUGCCGCGUGAGUGAAGAAGGCCUCGG
Molecule: ribosomal RNA, 388 nt
Filed under: uncultured bacterium
Lineage: Bacteria
Description: bacterial SSU rRNA
Rfam family: Bacterial small subunit ribosomal RNA
Source: RNAcentral